AAGGAUGGAUAAGCACAUUGAAAUGUCCUAUUGUUGCUUUGAAGCAUUCAAGAUGCUAGCCAAGAACUAUUUAGAUAUUGAUUCACAUGAACUGUAUGCAGAGAUUGAAAUUAUGCUGGCUGAAACCAACAUGACUCCUGCUGAUGUUGCGGAGAAUUUGAUGCCCAAGUGCGAUGAGGAUGACACAGAGACUUGUGUGAAGAAUUUGAUUGAAGCUCUCAAGGCGGCGAAGGAGGAGGCAAUCAAGAAGGCUGAAGAAGAAGCACGGUUGAAAGCAGAGGAGGCGACAAAGAAGGCUGAGGAAGAAGUGCGGUCCAAGGCAGAGAAAGAAGAGAAGGAAAAGCAUGCAAAAGAAAAUGAAACUUCAUCUUCUUCUGCGAAAGAAAAUGGGUCCAUUGCUAAUGGUAAUGAGAAUACAAGCAACUGAGGAUCCAGGACUUGCAUAUGAACUAUCAGCUUUAUAAUUUAUUCACACUCCUGUGCUGAAUGUUUACGUGUAUUGUAUCAUUUCGGUUUGUAGAAUAAUUGUUUGCUGCAUUGUGGUCAUUAUUAGUAGUGAAAGCUGGAGUUGGCAUGCAGCUUUUAGACUGGAUUUGUGUAAAAAGCUCUGAAUUCUUCGGUUAUAAAGUCCAAUAAAGACUGUGAUAAACACUGAAGAAGGACAACUUUAAGUCAUGUGAGAAGCGUAUUAGUGUUUUGGUGGUGUAAAUUAGUACAAAAUUUGUAUGAUCACUAUUUUAAGCAAAAAUGGUCCAUCUGGUUUCAUCUUCAUUAGUACCCAAGUAAAGAUGUUUAAAAUCAGCGAACAAAAAUGAUGCCAGUAUCAAAUUUCAAAUGAAUACAAGGCUGAAGAGAAAUCUUAUUAAAAUUUUGAACUAAUAAUGUAAUUUUUAAUUAUCGAUGAAUGAAAAUGGGAAUGGGGUUGACAGUGUGUUGAGGUUAAAAGAAAAAGUAUAAGGGUGUAUCUAGCAAUGGAUGGACCUGUCUAUGGUACAGAUUCUGUAACAAACAUCUCCCGUCAUCCCACCAUCCGAUUGUCUAUUGUUUAGUUUCUCACUCCACAUCCAACCACAUCCAACGGCUGAUGCUGCAGUCUGUAGCUUACAGAUUCUGUAAGCUAGUCAAGUCCGCAAUGGAUUGAGGCAAUCUGCCAAAAACGUUCUAACUUUAUUAGAAUUUCUGCCCGGCCAUAAUUCUAUAGCCAUUCCGAACCACAGAGUGAUAGUCCCUAUUCCCAAAAAAAAUACACUAAUGAAAUUGAAGUAGUGACCUACCAAGUCAAAAUAAGCUUAUAAAAUUAACCACAUAUUAAAAAUAUUAAAUGAAAUAAACGCUAUUGGCACUUGAUAGAAAUGAUGCUUAGCUAUGCUGAGAUGAAGGUCUCAUCUGACCAUGGUAUAUGAUUAUGGCAAAUGGUGGCCGCCUCAUUCGUCAUAUUGUCUUUCUCUCUCUAAGCAGGAAACAAAUAUCUUUUGAUGUUGCAUUUGUAGUUCAAUAAAACUUGAUAUUAUAGCCUUAAAAUUAAAUCAUAUUGAGAGUUCCAAAUUUGUAAUUCAAUUUGCAGGCAAUCUCUAUUUCAUUAAACAAAUCAGCUGAUUUAUACUAGUAUGAUAUUUAAUGUAUAAAACCAAAACAAAAAUACCCAGUAAGUUGAUGGUCUGUAACGACAAAAAGCAAUUGAAAAGUUGUAAAUUGAUAAGACUGAAUUGCAUUUAAAACAUAAAUUGGCCUGGAAAAAAAUUGCAAAUUUGACGUGUAUUUGAAGUUGAGGUCUUUUUUUUUUUAUAUUAAUCACGAGGUAUCCUGGGGAGGGCCCCAACUGUGGGAGGUACCUUUAAGCCCGUACCACAACCCAGACUAGAAGUCUCUGCUCGAACCGGGAGGCACAAGUUCUCCCAACAAAGGCGACUUCCCUGCGACUCGAACUGGGGAGCAAACCCAAUCAAGCCACUUAAGGGGACUCCAUUGCCAGUGGAGCCAACACUUUGUUGGUUUGAAGUUGAGGUCUUGAUUGAGCAUCUAAUUGUCAAGAAAUUGGGUGCACAAAGUAGAGAAUCGAUGCAUGGUUGGCUCUGCGUUGACUCCACCAUCUGAAAUGGUAAUCAAUUUCCAGAGUUAAAGAGGUAAUAUUUCUCUUAAUUAUUGGUUUUCCUUUCUGGAUAUGAGGUAACUUUUAUUGGUUAACGUUGGUUAUUGGCUUGAAAAUGAUACAACUAAAAAUUGUUUCUAAGACACUUCAGUAUUGUACUUGACAUAUUUUUUAGAGUAGAAAAAUGAAAUUUGCCAGUGAGAUUCAGGGCUUUCUUGGAAGAUUGGUAUCAAGAAAACAGGCUUGUUGGAAUAUGUCCUCAUUUUUUUGAAGGGAACGCGCUGCUACAACCUACAAACCUGUAAUACUCUAAAAAUUACCCCUGAAAACAUAAGGGUAAAAUUGAAAUGAAACCUCACAUCAUUUAUUCUUAUUAAUAAAUUUCAAGAUAAACAAUCAUUAUUCAUACUCUAAGUCUAACGCAUGCUAACUUUUAGAUUCAUCCAAAUUGAUUCAAUUCAUUUGUACUGCCACAUAACCAUAUUUUCAUCCUCUGCUGUUUUAAUUAAUCAUUGAUUGUGGCAGUUGGACCAUUUCUAAAAUGAAACUAAUUUGUUUAUAAGACUUAAGAGUCAAGCCUGCUAAGCAAGAACUUUUAUUAUUAUUAUUAUUAUUAUUAUUAUUAUUAUUAUUAUUAUUAUUAUUAUUAAAAAUAAUCGAAUACAAAUUAAUAAUUAUGACAAUAGUUAAUUAAGAACGUUUUAGUAAUUUUUAAUAAUUUAACUCAUUUUGAUCUCAACUCCAAUAUAAAAUAAAUACAUCAAUAAGAAAAGAGUCCAUUAAUUUUAAACAACUUAUUCUACUUUUAAUUUUUUAUUUCAAUUCCAAUCUAUUUCAAUUUGUUUAGUAAACGUACAUAAAACAGUACGACUGAUUAAUUAAAAUAGUGGUCAUGUGGGCAAUAUUUAUUUUUAAAUAAUUAUUUUGUAAUAUUAAAGAGGAAACUGUUAGGAGAUUGUUAUCUUACAUAAUCAUUUAAGAUAUAUGAUUCUUACACUGUGGUUGAUAAAAAUUUAACAGUUGUGAAAAUAUAAUAUAAUAAAAUUAUAUUAUUUUCACGACUAUUAGAUUUUUAUCCAAUGACUGUAGAAGAAUCAUGUAUCUCAGGUGAUCAGGAAAGAUAACAAAAGCCGCCAUUUUACCGUUUUUAUUGGUCAGAGGGUCAACCCUCUCACAUGCUUUUCUGCCAACGUAAUUGGCAUUUGGCUAUUAGCAAAGAGGCAAAAGCAUUACGUGGAGGUCAAAGAUGAUGGCUAAUAUGUACAAUGGAGUUGGUGACAGAUAAAAACACAAAGACAGCAGAAAAGACAGUAAUAUUGUUCUUUUUAAGUAAAUUUUAGAUUACCUCUAAUAAAAAAAUAAUUUUUAAAAUACUAUCAAAUUAUUAUAAAUUUUAAUUUAACUCUUUUUUAUUUUAAAAAAUAAUGGUGAAUUAAUGAAAAAUAUUUUAUAUUCUUUACAAAAUUAGGAGCGAGUUGAUAUUUAUGAUAACUUGAAAAAUGUUUUAAAGAAUGUAAUUUUACAAGAGUAAUUAAAUUUUCUUUUUAUAAAUUAAAGAAAGACCGACCUCGACUCUUAAGUCUCUGCGGAAGCCACUCGGAAGAAAGCAAUUAGGCAAUGGUGGGGAUAGCUUCAUGGCCGUGAUCAGCAAGCCAAAACACAAUAUAUAAGACCCUUCUCCACACUAACCUUACAGAUUUUAUAUACUAGUUUUGUCUGAAAUAGCUAGAGAGUAACGUAGCAAAAUGGUGACUACUGGAGAAUUGUUGGCGACUCUAGGCUCAGUUAUGGCGAGUGUCAUGUUUGUAUCAGCUAUAUUCAAGCAAUACUUUCCAUAUCAACUUUGGGGCUAUGUUGAAAAAUAUAGUCAAAAAUUGUUUCGGAUUCUGUAUCCUUACAUAGAAAUUACGUUUCAUGAAUUCUCCGGUGAUCGUCUCAAGCGCAGCGAAGCCUUCUCUGCCAUACAAAACUAUCUCAGCACCACUGCCUCUUUGCAUGCUACAAGGUUUAAGGCUGAUGUUGUCAAAGACAGCCAGUCUAUAGUCCUUAGCAUGGAUGAUAGGCAGGAGGUCACAGAUGAGUUUAAAGGGAUCAAAGUUUGGUGGGUGUUGGGUAAGAAUAUUCUUAAGACUCAGUCGUUUUCAUUUUAUCCAGCGACGGAUGAGAAGAGGUAUUACAGGCUCACGUUCCAUAAGAGUCACCGGGAACUCAUCACCGGGCCCUAUGUUAACCAUGUGUUGGCUGGAGGAAAGGCUAUCACCGUGAAGAACCGGCAACGGAAGCUGUACAGCAACAAUCCUAGCAAGAAUUGGUAUGGCUGGAGAUCAACAAAGUGGAGCCAUGUCUUUUUUGAGCAUCCUGCUACAUUUGAUACGUUGGCAAUGGAGACAAAGAAGAAGGAAGAGAUCAAGAAGGACCUCAAGAAGUUCAGCGAGGGGAAAGAGUACUACGAGAAAAUUGGGAAGGCUUGGAAGAGAGGGUAUCUCCUUUACGGUCCUCCAGGAACUGGCAAAUCAACCAUGAUUGCUGCUAUGGCCAACUACAUGAACUAUGAUGUGUAUGAUCUUGAACUUACCACAGUGAAAGACAACACAGAGUUGAGGUCUCUUUUGAUUGACACCUCAAGUAAGUCGAUCCUAGUUAUAGAGGAUAUUGAUUGCUCUCUUGAUCUCACCGGCCAACGCGAGAAGAAAAAGGAGAAAGACGGGGACGAGGAGGAGAAGAAUCCAAUUGAAAAGAAGGAAAAAGAAGAUGGUGAGAGCAAGAAAAGCAAGGUUACAUUAUCCGGGCUUCUGAAUUUCAUCGACGGCCUUUGGUCAGCUUGUGGGGGAGAAAGGAUAAUUGUGUUCACUACAAAUUACGUGGACAAGCUUGAUCCUGCGUUGAUUAGGAGAGGAAGGAUGGAUAAGCACAUUGAAAUGUCCUAUUGUUGCUUUGAAGCAUUCAAGAUGCUAGCCAAGAACUAUUUAGAUAUUGAUUCACAUGAACUGUAUGCAGAGAUUGAAAUUAUGCUGGCUGAAACCAACAUGACACCUGCUGAUGUAGCGGAGAAUUUGAUGCCCAAGUGCGAUGAGGAUGACACAGAGACUUGUUUGAAGAAUUUGAUUGAAGCUCUCAAGGCGGCGAAGGAGGAGGCAAUCAAGAAGGCUGAAGAAGAAGCACGAUUGAAAGCA
This 5262-nucleotide long non-coding RNA is filed under the name Citrus x clementina. RNAcentral's name for it is "Citrus clementina (C. clementina) long non-coding RNA (CCLE_LNC002131)". The record is from RNAcentral. Lineage: Eukaryota; Viridiplantae; Streptophyta; Magnoliopsida; Sapindales; Rutaceae.